UACGGGGGGGGCAAGCGUUGUUCGGAAUUACUGGGCGUAAAGGGCUCGUAGGCGGCCAACUAAGUCGGAUGUGAAAUCCCCAGGCUUAACCUGGGAACUGCAUCCGAUACUGGAUGGCUUGAAUCCGGGAGAGGGAUGCAGAAUUCCAGGUGUAGCGGUGAAAUGCGUAGAUAUCUGGAGGAAUACCGGUGGCGAAGGCGGCAUCCUGGACUGGCAUUGACGCUGAUGAGCGAAAGCCAGGGGAGCAAACGGG
Molecule: ribosomal RNA, 253 nt
Filed under: uncultured bacterium
Lineage: Bacteria
Description: partial 16S ribosomal RNA
Rfam family: Bacterial small subunit ribosomal RNA
Source: RNAcentral